ACUGAACGCUGGCGGCAGGCCUAACACAUGCAAGUCGAGCGGAUGAAGGGAGCUUGCUCCUGGAUUCAGCGGCGGACGGGUGAGUAAUGCCUAGGAAUCUGCCUGGUAGUGGGGGAUAACGUCCGGAAACGGGCGCUAAUACCGCAUACGUCCUGAGGGAGAAAGUGGGGGAUCUUCGGACCUCACGCUAUCAGAUGAGCCUAGGUCGGAUUAGCUAGUUGGUGGGGUAGAGGCCUACCAAGGCGACGAUCCGUAACUGGUCUGAGAGGAUGAUCAGUCACACUGGAACUGAGACACGGUCCAGACUCCUACGGGAGGCAGCAGUGGGGAAUAUUGGACAAUGGGCGAAAGCCUGAUCCAGCCAUGCCGCGUGUGUGAAGAAGGUCUUCGGAUUGUAAAGCACUUUAAGUUGGGAGGAAGGGCAGUAAGUUAAUACCUUGCUGUUUUGACGUUACCAACAGAAUAAGCACCGGCUAACUUCGUG
This 484-nucleotide ribosomal RNA is filed under the name uncultured bacterium. RNAcentral describes it as "partial 16S ribosomal RNA". It matches the Rfam family "Bacterial small subunit ribosomal RNA", at positions 30 to 507 of the family's 1533-position model. The record is from RNAcentral.